CUCGUUCUGGAACUAUCUCGUUCCAUUUAGUAAUAGGAUGGAUCAGUUCCAGGUUUUGGAGAUCGAUUUCUGGAUAACUCAAUCCACGUAAGCGAUGACGUUUACAAAGCUUUACUGAUAAGAACGAAUCUCAAUACAGUCAAGAAAAUUGAUGACUCUGCAUGCAAUGCACGAUGACAAGUGUAUCACAUGCUUCAUUAUAAAUAAGUGUGUUUCUUCUUCUUUCCCUCAUUGUUCAAUCCUAAGAAUUCUCUCUACAAGUUGUUUUUAUCAGGGUCCGAUCCAUCUCCUGCAAAGGAGUUCGUAAACAUCUGAUAUCUACAAUCACUAGUUUGUGAAAAAAGUUCCAGUGACCUUGAAGAAGCUUACUUUCCAAAUAUUUCUCUAUUUCCUCACUAGAAUUGCUUCUAGUACUGCAGGUUCCAAAAGGAGAGAAGAAAAUGGAGUCCCACAAGAGAAGCAACAAAAAUGCAUCGGUAUCAAACAGAAUUGAAUGAGAAUAUAUGGAGAUCAAUCUCAUACUUGAUUCUACAAUUUCUUGUUCCUACCCUUGUACCAAGAUAUUUAAACCCUUAGAAUCUCUUAUUAAAUCAACACCCUUGGCACUAUUUUGUCAUUUCACCCCUUGAAUAGCAGACGUUGAUUUCCUUUCCCUCUUUUUUAACAUCACUCAUUCUCUCUCUUUGCUGUCAACCAUAUUCUCUCACGGGCAACUUCCGUUACAAUUAUAUAGCGUACGCUAGCGUCUCCCUGUGUUUCUCUCCUUUCUCCAACUACUAUCCAACCAGACCAUGAUCAAACCAGCCACCCUCGUGAACUUGUGCUGGAAAACCCAGAGGUGAUGGAUUUCAUAAUAAAGAUGGUGAUGAGAGCAUGAGAGGAGAACAUCCCAGAACUAACCAAAACCUCCGCCCUCUCUCAGAUCACCUCUGGAUCUGCUCGUUCUGUUCACCUCGAAAGGCCGAGGUUCGAAGAAGCCAGGCCAAAUCUGGAAACGGGUAGUUCAGCGUCUCAAUCCAUCUCCGGAGAUCAUCGGCUUCUAGAGAAUCAAGAAGUUGAAGGAAACCAGAUCUUCCAAUUUGGGAUGUUUCCGGUGAACCCUUUGGGAAUCGAACAUUCCGGCGGGAUCGAUGCUGUAGGGCCUAGUACUAUUGGGGCUUAUUUUGGGGAUACUGGAGUGGGGACUUCAUCAGGAGCUGUUUCGCACAUCAUCAUCGAGAUUGAAACUCCAGCAACAGCUCAUCUGAUGGCCUUCUUCAAUAACGAAGGCAGCGAGGAGUAAGAGAAGGAUAGCAAGGAGAAUGGGUUCUUCGAGCUCUUUCUCUUCUUGCCGAAUCACUCUUAUCAUUGCCGAUUCUCCAACACCGAGUCUUCCCUAGAGAUAUCGAUACCAUCCUCUACAACCGUCUCAAUCUCGGCACGUUCAUCGCCGUCCCCUACAGUGGUGGUUCCAUUGAGGCAUGGCCCGAUGUGGACCAUUUCCUCUCAUACCCACCUGAGUCUUGGGCUGUGCUCAGCAUUUGGAACAGCAAGGAAGUGUUCUCCAUUCAGGUCAGGGGGGGUUUCCAAGCCACGCGAGGGCUAGCGAAGAUGAGCCAGAUCGUGGAUAAGGCUUUCCUUUUACCAUCGAUGCCAGAGCUGUUCAUGCCAUUUGAGUUUCAUUUCUUGUAUGCUUAUUUUAUUUUAUAUGUAGUUAUCCCAUCCAUACAUGAGGAAGGUGAUGUUUUGAAAAAUCUGUUAGGCAAA
Long non-coding RNA from Macadamia integrifolia, 1746 nucleotides. RefSeq lists it as uncharacterized. The transcript is spliced from 2 exons. NCBI's taxonomy places the organism in Eukaryota, Viridiplantae, Streptophyta, Magnoliopsida, Proteales, Proteaceae. The record is from RefSeq and is a predicted model, not a curated record.